Molecule: ribosomal RNA, 270 nt
Filed under: uncultured archaeon
Lineage: Archaea
Description: partial 16S ribosomal RNA
Rfam family: Archaeal small subunit ribosomal RNA
Source: RNAcentral
CAGCACCUCAAGUGGUCAGGAUGAUUAUUGGGCCUAAAGCAUCCGUAGCCGGCGCUGUAAGUUUUCGGUUAAAUCUGUACGCUCAACGUACAGGCUGCCGGGAAUACUGCAGAGCUAGGGAGUGGGAGAGGUAGACGGUACUCGGUAGGAAGGGGUAAAAUCCUUUGAUCUAUUGAUGACCACCUGUGGCGAAGGCGGUCUACCAGAACACGUCCGACGGUGAGGGAUGAAAGCUGGGGGAGCGAACCGGAUUAGAUACCCGAGUAGUCC